UUUGGCAGCACAUAUACUAAAAAAAAAAAAAAUUGGAACGACACAGAGAAGAUUAGCAUGGCCCUGCACAAGGAUGACAUGCACAUUCGUGAAGCGUUCCAUGUUAAA
Lagenorhynchus albirostris (white-beaked dolphin) is the source of this 108-nucleotide small nuclear RNA. The record is from RefSeq and is a predicted model, not a curated record. NCBI's taxonomy places the organism in Eukaryota, Metazoa, Chordata, Mammalia, Artiodactyla, Delphinidae.